Doryrhamphus excisus (bluestripe pipefish) is the source of this 2114-nucleotide non-coding RNA. The record is from RefSeq and is a predicted model, not a curated record. Lineage: Eukaryota; Metazoa; Chordata; Actinopteri; Syngnathiformes; Syngnathidae.
UUAUCUGUCCUAGUUUCUUUUUUGGGACUGAAAGAAUGGAGCCUUCUGGCCGACUGAACCAGAGGACCGGAUCGAUCCAAACUGAUAAUGAUACCAGGGUAGUAUCAGUAUCUGAUUUAUGUAAGAUUGUUAUUUUACAUUUUUUAAAUGUUUAAUUUCACAAAUAUUUUUGUUGAUAUAUAUUUGAAAAACACAACUCCAUCACUCUAUUGUGAAAUUAAAAAUAUAUAUUUUUUUCAGUUAACUAUAAGGCCCAUUAUUAGACAAAUAAAUAUUGAAAUAUAAGUUUUAUGCCGUAGUCUGGCCACUAGGUGUCAGUAAUGACAACGCAUUCAUAACACAUUUCAGUACAUCACAGUUACUCAGUUAAGGCAUGUCCGACAUGAUAGAUUGAAAAUAAGUUCUACUCCUAUUAUGUGUGACAUCCCACUAAACUUUGAUUGUCACUCUGGCUCAAGUCCAGGACUGAAGAGAAAGGACCCCCCCCCCCUCCAUGGAGUCAAAAACCAUCUCAAGGAAGUCAUUAAAACUUCAGCAUGAGGACAAGUCUUCCCUUCCUCUCUAAAUAUGAUGUAUUCGCCUGUAUUUCAGACCUGCAGUGAAGUCGGAGAGGUUGCCAUGGCAACUACAGAGAUGCUAUCUUACAAGGGGCUUUGGCACUGUUCCUUCUCCCCACUGCUUUGUUCCUCUUGAUGGAUCUGGGCAGCCCAGCGAACCGUGACCCUGCCAGCCCACCCCAACUGUACUUUCCAGAACAACCACACAAAGAUUCCACAGACUGACUUUGGGAGAGGGUGAGCAGGCUGCUCUCACAGAAGCUUUGCUUGCAGUCCAGCUGCCUGGGACACUUCCAGCCCGUCCUCCCACCUAUGUGACGGAUGCUGAGUUGUUAAAAGGAUGAAUGCAAUGAGUCACAGUCUGAGGAUGUGUUUAUGUGUAAGCAGCCAGUGCACAUGGUCAUCGUGAUAGGACAUGCUGUUCACCAGCAAAUGCAGACCUGGGCACCGCCUCUGGUGCGUCCUCCCAUGAUCAUGUCGAAGUAUCCUUGAGCAAGAUACUCCGCCCCCAGUUGCCGCGUCAUCAUAAGCACCCGCACCUGCUUUCAACCAUGGAGACUCAUCUGCAUGUUCACCCAAAAAGUGAUAGCAAGGACACCCGUUUCAUCAUCAGCUCGAAUCAGCUCACCCGAACAGAAAAUAUGGGAGGUCGUCGGGCCUGAUGAGCAAGGAGUUCAUUCAGCAGAUCGAGAAGAAAUUAAUGUGCAUGCAGAUAGUUGAUGUUAUCAUCUGACUGUUCUUUGUCAUCACUUGUGUGGUUGUGGUGGUUUUUGGCCAACGUUUAACUACAAAUGUUUGCCUUGUGUACCACUGUAUAAUUGCAGUAGCCAUGUUUUGUGUGUGUGUGUGUGUGUGUGUCCAUCCACAACACAGGUGCAUUUUAUUGAUGGAAAUUUGAAUGCAUAGGAAUACUGUAACGAUAAUGAUAAAGCAUGGCCCUGUGUUGAUCUUUUUGCAAUUCCUGGAAAGCUGAAAACAUCUCACUUCCUGCAUUGCCAGCAUUACCCACCGCACUUGUCACCCAUUGAGCAUGUUUGGAAUGCUUUUGAUCGACAUAUACAGUAUUUGAGGCAAAUGUUGGUCACUAACAUAUUUAGAGAAAUUUGUGAAUAUAAGAGAGACAGGCCUAAAACCUGUUUUUUGUGGAGUGCCCAGUGGGGGAAAUAAGUAUUUGAUUCCUGCUUAGUCAGUUUACCCCCUUACAAAGAUGAACAUGUUACAAAAUGUCUAGAAAUUGGAAUUUACAGAAAUGUAUUAACAAUAAAGCGCACUCAAACUGAGUGGGAAAAAUGGUUUUAAAAAUAAAAAGUACAACAAAAAAAAGCCACAGGUAAAAGUAAAACUCACAAAGGUUGUCCAAAAAGCAAACUACACAUGCAAGAAGCAGAUCAAGACCAAAUGCUGGAGGACGGUCUAACUGUCUGGCGACUGAGGUGGGUCCAAGCAAGCCGUGCUUGGAAUAAUGAGAUGAUUGCUCCCAGGUGUGACCACAUGGCUCCGCCCACACAACCCCUUCACAUGCACUGCAACACAGAGAAGACAGGUGGCAGCAGAGGG